Molecule: ribosomal RNA, 465 nt
Filed under: uncultured bacterium
Lineage: Bacteria
Description: partial 16S ribosomal RNA
Rfam family: Bacterial small subunit ribosomal RNA
Source: RNAcentral
GACGAACGCUGGCGGCGUGCUUAACACAUGCAAGUCGAACGGUAAGGCUCCAGCUUGCUGGGGUACACGAGUGGCGAACGGGUGAGUAACACGUGGGUGACCUGCCCUGCACUUCGGGAUAAGCUUGGGAAAUUGGUUCUAUUCCCGGUUAGGCCCGCACCGUGGGGGUUUGGUGGAAGUUUUUUUCGGUUUGGGUUGGGCCCGCGGCCUAUCAGCUUGUUGUUGGGGUAUUGGCCUACCAAGGCGGCGACGGGUAGCCGGCCUGAGAGGGGGGACGGCCACAUUGGGACUGAGACACGGCCCAGACUCCUACGGGAGGCAGCAGUGGGGAAUAGUGCACAAUGGGCGGAAGCCUGAUGCAGCGACGCCGCGUGGGGGAUGACGGCCUUCGGGUUGUAAACUCCUUUCACCAUCGACGAAGGGUUUCUGACGGUAGAUGGAGAAGAAGCACCGGCUAACUACGUG